UUCUGUCAAAGGCAAGCUUACCGAAAGGUAAGGCACGCAAAGUUACCGGUCUACGGGGAGAUUUCUCUAUGACAGCGGGACUAUCGGA
This 88-nucleotide non-coding RNA is filed under the name Gammaproteobacteria bacterium. RNAcentral describes it as "c-di-GMP sequence". It matches the Rfam family "c-di-GMP-I riboswitch aptamer". From Rfam's summary of the family: GEMM was predicted in a large-scale screen for bacterial structured RNA regulatory elements. Genes associated with GEMM are involved in a diverse array of functions, including chemotaxis regulation, signal transduction, secretion and chitin. The record is from RNAcentral. Lineage: Bacteria; Pseudomonadati; Pseudomonadota; Gammaproteobacteria.